This 497-nucleotide ribosomal RNA is filed under the name uncultured bacterium. Its description in RNAcentral is "partial 16S ribosomal RNA". It matches the Rfam family "Bacterial small subunit ribosomal RNA", at positions 28 to 507 of the family's 1533-position model. The record is from RNAcentral.
GAUGAACGCUGGCGGCGUGCCUAAUACAUGCAAGUCGAGCGAACGGACGAGAAGCUUGCUUCUCUGAUGUUAGCGGCGGACGGGUGAGUAACACGUGGAUAACCUACCUAUAAGACUGGGAUAACUUCGGGAAACCGGAGCUAAUACCGGAUGAUAUUUUGAACCGCAUGGUUCAAAAGUGAAAGACGGUCUUGCUGUCACUUAUAGAUGGAUCCGCGCUGCAUUAGCUAGUUGGGAAGGUAACGGCUUACCAAGGCAACGAUGCAUAGCCGACCUGAGAGGGGGAUCGGCCACACUGGAACUGAGACACGGUCCAGACUCCUACGGGAGGCAGCAGUAGGGAAUCUUCCGCAAUGGGCGAAGGCCUGACGGAGCAACGCCGCGUGAGUGAUGAAGGUCUUCGGAUCGUAAAACUCUGUUAUUAGGGAAGAACAUAUGUGUAAGUAACUGUGCACAUCGUGACGGUACCUAAUCAGAAAGCCACGGCUAACUACGUG